RNAcentral lists this ribosomal RNA (403 nucleotides) under uncultured Glomeromycotina. RNAcentral describes it as "bacterial SSU rRNA". It matches the Rfam family "Eukaryotic small subunit ribosomal RNA", at positions 569 to 978 of the family's 1831-position model. The record is from RNAcentral. Lineage: Eukaryota; Fungi; Glomeromycota.
AGCAGCCGCAGUAAUUUCAGCUCCAAUAGUGUAUAUUAAAGUUGUUGCAGUUAAAAAGCUCGUAGUUGAAUUUUGAGAUCAGUUGGUCGGUCGUGUCUUGGUACGUACUGGUCAAAUUGAUUCCUACCUUCUGACGAAUCACAAUGUCAUUAAUUUGGUGUCGCAGGAAAUCAGGACUGUUACUUUGAAAAAAUUGAGUGUUUAAAGCAGGCUCGUGCUUGAAUACAUUAGCAUAGAAUAAUGAAAUAAGACGUUUGAUUCUAUUUUGUUAGUUUCUAGGGUCGAUAUAAUGAUUAAUAGGAAUAGUUGGAGUAUUAGUAUUCAAUUGUCAGAAGUGAAAUUCUUGGAUUUUAUUGAAGACUAACUACUGCGAAAGCAUUUGCCAAGAAUGUUUUCAUUAAUC